Non-coding RNA from Kogia breviceps (pygmy sperm whale), 973 nucleotides. Lineage: Eukaryota; Metazoa; Chordata; Mammalia; Artiodactyla; Physeteridae. The record is from RefSeq and is a predicted model, not a curated record.
CUCUUCAGCUGUUUAAAGACAGUUUGGGUGGUUUUUAAAUGGCCGGGGGAAGUCUUCCCCAUGGUAAAUCAGGACAUGCGGACAGAAAAGUGAUCACCGCCUUCCUCAUCAUCCAUCCACAGUGAGACCAAUGGCCUCUGCUCUUCAGCUUCCUUCCAGGAGUCUGGACUCCGCGACCAGGUGCAGAGGCAGGGCCACUGCCCUGGGCUGCCGGGCUGCAGCAGGAAGCGGUCUCGCGAGGUCAGGCACCAGCAGAGAGGCUGGGCUCUUCUUGGACAAGAAGAUGGUUCCUUCAACCAGUGAAAAGAAACUGUAGGGCAGCUCUCUGCUGGUUCCAGCAAGGCCUUGGUUCAGAGUCAAGGAAACCAAGAUGGAGCCUCAGUCAGUGGAGAUUUAGUAUCUUCCUCCAUCUUCAUCACUGGGUCCUGGAGAAGUUCCAGGUUGUUGUAAACAUCUGUUGGGGUGAUGGACGUAAAGCUCCCUGCACAGCAAACUGCACUAAGAACUCCACAAACUCCCAAAGUUAAGAUAAUGACUUCUGAUUUCAAGAAACACCCAGUCUAGUGAAAAGACCAAUAUGUUAACAGAUAAAUGUCAUUAGUGUGAUGGGUAUGACUAUUUUUGACUUUUCUUUAAAAAUCAAACAUUUACAGAGCACUUACUAUGUGCCAGACACUGUGCUAAACAGUUGUACCUGGAUCAUCUCAUUUAUUUGCACAAAACCAUAUAUAGCAGGAACCACAGUUUUUCCCAGUGAGGAAUCUGAGGUUUAGGCCAUUUAAACCUCAGGGCCACAGAGCUGGAAAGGGACAGAAGGAGGGUUUGAACCCAGCAAUCUGGUUCCAGAGGCGGAUUUCAAGGCACAAAGAGACGGAAAGAAGCCAGGAGAGGCUUCACAGAGGAGGUGCUGGAGCGGCGAGUGGUUUUCCAGGCACCAAAGUCAUGGGAGAAGGAGUCCAGGCAGGAGGGAAGA